Molecule: long non-coding RNA, 474 nt
Organism: Salvelinus fontinalis (brook trout)
Lineage: Eukaryota; Metazoa; Chordata; Actinopteri; Salmoniformes; Salmonidae
Exons: 3
Source: RefSeq, a predicted model, not a curated record
AUCAACCUGAACCGGUUUGAAUGUGGGUGGCUCAACUCAAAUUUGACUAUAAAAAGGACACAUCAUCCAGGGUCAGCCAUUGCAUUACAGGAACCAAGACAGAUUCGGCUGUGAUUCCCACAAAAAGGUAGAACCGUCUUCAAACAGACAAAGAGUCCAUACCACCACAUGAAGUACAACUAAUAUACAGAACACUGGUUAAGCUUGGGACCGGAGACAACAAAGAUGGCACACAACAAGGGCUCAUCCCUGUCCAAUGCCCGUGGUCGUGAAAUUUAUAUUGGAAGUCAAAUCAGGGAUUCCAUUUCACUUCUGGAUGUUUUGUACGCAAAUGCAUUUGAAGAUGAGGACAUAGACUCGGCAGUAGCUAAGAAGACAGAGGUAGAUUUUUACAGAGGAGCCCCACCUCAAUGGCUUAACUUCUACUGGACUGAAAGGGCAACGUCAGCUGAUCAAACAACCCCCUUUAUCAAA